Molecule: transfer RNA, 66 nt
Filed under: Omphisa fuscidentalis (bamboo borer)
Lineage: Eukaryota; Metazoa; Arthropoda; Insecta; Lepidoptera; Crambidae
Description: tRNA-Thr
Rfam family: tRNA
About the family: Transfer RNA (tRNA) molecules are approximately 80 nucleotides in length.
Source: RNAcentral
GUUUUUAUAGUUUAAAUUUAAAACAUUGGUCUUGUAAAUCAGUAAUAAUAAUAAUAUUUAAAAACU